This is a long non-coding RNA of Quercus robur (English oak), 592 nucleotides long. RefSeq lists it as uncharacterized. The record is from RefSeq and is a predicted model, not a curated record. NCBI's taxonomy places the organism in Eukaryota, Viridiplantae, Streptophyta, Magnoliopsida, Fagales, Fagaceae. The transcript has 2 exons.
GCUAGGAAGCUCCCUUGAGUCUUUCUCUCAAGUCCAUGGGUUCACACACCAAUAGAAAGACUAGACUCAUCUCAUUUCUUAUUCACACUUUCUCAAAGAAACUAGAAGACUCAAAAAACUCUCUUCCUCUCUCAUGCCUACGGGUCUAACACCAAAAAGAAAGAAAACUCUCUCAAGCUCUCUACCCCUCAUACUUUUGGGUCCAGCCACUAGGAAAGAGAAGUUUUUUCAUGCAAGAGUGAUUUAUUUCUAUUUUCCCUUAAGAACCAUAAACUUGGUAUUACCAAUUCACCAGGUCUAAGCUCCUUUGACUGUGGGCUCUCGGUUCCUCUGCUUUCAGGUAAGGGAUAAGUUAUAUGGGUAUUUGGUAAGUCAUAAGGUUAUUUUAAAGUAUAUUAUGCAUUAAAAGGUUUUUGAUUAGAGAUAUGGCAUAUAAUCAUUAUUCUGACAAAGAUAUGUUCGUGAGCUUUCGAAACCUUAUGUAUAUGAUUUAAGCAUAUUGAUGUCAUUACUUAUUUCCACGAACAUGAUGUUUAAAGAAAAGAAUGGAAAUGUUAUUAGUAUGAAAUGUUAUGCAAAAUAAGAAAUUUCA